This is a long non-coding RNA of Leptinotarsa decemlineata (Colorado potato beetle), 801 nucleotides long. The record is from RefSeq and is a predicted model, not a curated record. Lineage: Eukaryota; Metazoa; Arthropoda; Insecta; Coleoptera; Chrysomelidae.
ACGGUUUAAGAAUGAAUCGAGCCAGCUCGAUCCAAGCUAUCGUUUUAGUCUAUUUGUAUCUAUUAGUGCUGAAGUGGAAAAACUUGAGAUACACAUCUGGUAACUAUGCAAUAAAAGAUAAGAUAAACCUCACUCGAACCAUAGACCUUGCAAUAAGGUUUAAAAAUAUAUUUGUAGCAGUGAAAGGCGUACGUUUUACUAACAAUGCAUAAAGUGAGCAUGGAUUUACCAGACAUAGAGAUCAAUGAACACUGCCACGAUAUACUUUCCUUUAUCCAUCAAUUGGUUCCAACUAGUAACUGUCAGUUGUAAAGGCUGUUUCACAAGAAUGUUUACUACGAAAACCUGACUGGUUUCAUAGGAAGAUUCCAAAACAUUGUGAGCUAUAUAUAUUGAGGGGUUAUGUUAUAUUUUCAAAAAUUAUGAAUUCAGGAGAGUGGUAUUAUAAUUUCGUUGACUGAAAGAAUGAUUUUGAAUACUACCAUUUUCCUUAUUGUGGUUAAAUUUCAAUGAAAGAUUAUAUCAAAUAUCUAUAAUUUAAAUAUUUUGAAAAUGUUAUCAUCUUUGUUUGAAAAAAAGGGGAUGUUCAACUAUAUUUGGCAUCUCAUGUUAAUUCCUAAUUUAUGUUGGUUGAAAAUGAGAAUUUUGUAGUGAAAAAUGCAUUCAUUGGGAAACAUUUUCAAAAUAUUGUUAGAUCAGCAUAUUAUACAUUCUGAUACUCUUAUAUACUUCUAUAUAUUCUGUGAUUUCAGCAAAGAUGAUAUUAACAUUAAGUUGAAACAAAUAAAUUUUUGAGAACUU